AUAUUUUGGGANCCCUGCAGGCUUGGAGCUGCUCAUAGGGACAGAAUUCCAUCUGGGAACUCAUCCCUGCAGGCUUGGAGAUGGUGUGAGGGGCAGAAUUCCACCUGGGAAUACAUCCCCACAGGCUUGGAGCUGCUCAUAGGGGCAGAAUUCCAUCUGGGAACACAGCCCAGAGCUCUGGAACUGCUCAUAGGGGCAGAAUUCCACCUGGGAACUCAUCCCUACAAGCUUGGAACUUGCAGGAAGAAUGAUAUUCCACCUGGGAACUCAUCCCCACAGGCUUGGAACUGCUCACAGGGGCAGAAUUCCACCUGGGAACUCAUCCCUGCAGGCUUGGAACUAGCAGCAAGAACAGUAUUCCACUUGGGAACACAUUCCCACAGGCUUGGAGCUGCUCACAGGGGCAGAAUUCCAUCUGGGAACUCAUCCCCACAGGUCUGGAGCUGCUCACAGGGACAGAAUUCCACCUGGGAACACAGCCCUGCAGGCUUGGAGCUGCUCAUAGGGGCAGAAUUCCACCUGGGAACUCAUCCCUACAAGCUUGGAACUUGCAGGAGGGAUGAUAUUCCACCUGGGAACUCAUCCCCACAGACUUGGAACUGCUCACAGGGGCAGAAUUCCAUCUGGGAACACAGCCCAGAGCCAUGGAGAUGGUGGCAGGGGCAGAAUUCCAUCUGGGAACACAGCCCUGCAGGCUUGGAGCUGCUCAGAGGGGCAGUGUUCCACCUGGGAACUCAUCCCCACAGGUUUGGAACUAGCAGCAAGAACAGUAUUCCACUUGGGAACACAGCCCAGAGCCAUGGAGAUGGUGGCAGGGGCAAUAUUCCACUUGGGAACACAUUCCCACAGGUUUGGAACUGCUCAGAGGGGCAGAAUUCCACCUGGGAACACAGCCCCACAUCCCUGGAACUGCUCAGAGGGGCAGAAUUCCACCUGGGAACUCAUCCCCACAGGCUUGGAGCUUCCAUGCUUUUCAUGGAAACAUCUCAAAACCCUCAGCAUCUCACAAGGAUGGGUAAACACAAACAGGACGUGCUGGGAACAUGCGAGAGACCCUUUCAAUCACCCCUAAACCUUCUCCCAUGGAGUCCCCCUGCCCAUCCAUGA
RNAcentral lists this long non-coding RNA (1107 nucleotides) under Zonotrichia albicollis (white-throated sparrow). RNAcentral's name for it is "lncRNA (ENSZALG00000005020.1)". Lineage: Eukaryota; Metazoa; Chordata; Aves; Passeriformes; Passerellidae. The record is from RNAcentral.